UUAAGCGACUAAGCGUACACGGUGGAUGCCCUGGCAGUCAGAGGCGAUGAAGGACGUGCUAAUCUGCGAAAAGCGUCGGUAAGGUGAUAUGAACCGUUAUAGCCGGCGAUGUCCGAAUGGGGAAACCCAGUGUGAUUCGUCACACUAUCGUUAACUGAAUACAUAGGUUAACGAGGCGAACCGGGGGAACUGAAACAUCUAAGUACCCCGAGGAAAAGAAAUCAACCGAGAUUCCCCCAGUAGCGGCGAGCGAACGGGGAGCAGCCCAGAGUUUGAAUCAGCUUGUGUGUUAGUGGAACGGUCUGGAAAGUCCGACGGUACAGGGUGAUAGUCCCGUACACCAAAAUGCACAGGCUGUGAACUCGAAGAGUAGGGCGGGACACGUGGUAUCCUGUCUGAAUAUGGGGGGACCAUCCUCCAAGGCUAAAUACUCCUGACUGACCGAUAGUGAACCAGUACCGUGAGGGAAAGGCGAAAAGAACCCCGGCGAGGGGAGUGAAAAAGAACCUGAAACCGUGUACGUACAAGCAGUGGGAGCACCUUCGGGUGUGACUGCGUACCUUUUGUAUAAUGGGUCAGCGACUUAUAUUCUGUAGCAAGGUUAACCGUAUAGGGGAGCCGCAGGGAAACCGAGUCUUAACUGGGCGUUAAGUUGCAGGGUAUAGACCCGAAACCCGGUGAUCUAGCCAUGGGCAGGUUGAAGGUUGGGUAACACUAACUGGAGGACCGAACCGACUAAUGUUGAAAAAUUAGCGGAUGACUUGUGGCUGGGGGUGAAAGGCCAAUCAAACCGGGAGAUAGCUGGUUCUCCCCGAAAGCUAUUUAGGUAGCGCCUCGUGAAUUCAUCUUCGGGGGUAGAGCACUGUUUCGGCUAGGGGGUCAUCCCGACUUACCAACCCGAUGCAAACUACGAAUACCGAAGAAUGUUAUCACGGGAGACACACGGCGGGUGCUAACGUCCGUCGUGAAGAGGGAAACAACCCAGACCGCCAGCUAAGGUCCCAAAGUCAUGGUUAAGUGGGAAACGAUGUGGGAAGGCACAGACAGCCAGGAUGUUGGCUUAGAAGCAGCCAUCAUUUAAAGAAAGCGUAAUAGCUCACUGGUCGAGUCGGCCUGCGCGGAAGAUGUAACGGGGCUAAACCAUGCACCGAAGCUGCGGCAGCGACACUAUGUGUUGUUGGGUAGGGGAGCGUUCUGUAAGCCUGCGAAGGUGACCUGUGAGGGUUGCUGGAGGUAUCAGAAGUGCGAAUGCUGACAUAAGUAACGAUAAAGCGGGUGAAAAGCCCGCUCGCCGGAAGACCAAGGGUUCCUGUCCAACGUUAAUCGGGGCAGGGUGAGUCGACCCCUAAGGCGAGGCCGAAAGGCGUAGUCGAUGGGAAACAGGUUAAUAUUCCUGUACUUGGUGUUACUGCGAAGGGGGGACGGAGAAGGCUAUGUUAGCCGGGCGACGGUUGUCCCGGUUUAAGCAUGUAGGCUGAUUAUCCAGGCAAAUCCGGAUAAUCAAGGCUGAGGUGUGAUGACGAGGCACUACGGUGCUGAAGUAACAAAUGCCCUGCUUCCAGGAAAAGCCUCUAAGCAUCAGGUAACAUCAAAUCGUACCCCAAACCGACACAGGUGGUCAGGUAGAGAAUACCAAGGCGCUUGAGAGAACUCGGGUGAAGGAACUAGGCAAAAUGGUGCCGUAACUUCGGGAGAAGGCACGCUGGUGUGUAGGUGAAGUCCCUGCGGAUGGAGCUGAGACCAGUCGAAGAUACCAGCUGGCUGCAACUGUUUAUUAAAAACACAGCACUGUGCAAACACGAAAGUGGACGUAUACGGUGUGACGCCUGCCCGGUGCCGGAAGGUUAAUUGAUGGGGUUAUCCGUAAGGAGAAGCUCUUGAUCGAAGCCCCGGUAAACGGCGGCCGUAACUAUAACGGUCCUAAGGUAGCGAAAUUCCUUGUCGGGUAAGUUCCGACCUGCACGAAUGGCGUAAUGAUGGCCAGGCUGUCUCCACCCGAGACUCAGUGAAAUUGAACUCGCUGUGAAGAUGCAGUGUACCCGCGGCAAGACGGAAAGACCCCGUGAACCUUUACUAUAGCUUGACACUGAACAUUGAGCCUUGAUGUGUAGGAUAGGUGGGAGGCUUUGAAGCGUGGACGCCAGUCUGCGUGGAGCCAACCUUGAAAUACCACCCUUUAAUGUUUGAUGUUCUAACGUUGGCCCCUUACCGGGGUUGCGGACAGUGUCUGGUGGGUAGUUUGACUGGGGCGGUCUCCUCCCAAAGCGUAACGGAGGAGCACGAAGGUUAGCUAAUCCUGGUCGGACAUCAGGAGGUUAGUGCAAUGGCAUAAGCUAGCUUGACUGCGAGCGUGACGGCGCGAGCAGGUGCGAAAGCAGGUCAUAGUGAUCCGGUGGUUCUGAAUGGAAGGGCCAUCGCUCAACGGAUAAAAGGUACUCCGGGGAUAACAGGCUGAUACCGCCCAAGAGUUCAUAUCGACGGCGGUGUUUGGCACCUCGAUGUCGGCUCAUCACAUCCUGGGGCUGAAGUAGGUCCCAAGGGUAUGGCUGUUCGCCAUUUAAAGUGGUACGCGAGCUGGGUUUAGAACGUCGUGAGACAGUUCGGUCCCUAUCUGCCGUGGGCGCUGGAGAAUUGAGGGGGGCUGCUCCUAGUACGAGAGGACCGGAGUGGACGCAUCACUGGUGUUCGGGUUGUCAUGCCAAUGGCACUGCCCGGUAGCUAAAUGCGGAAGAGAUAAGUGCUGAAAGCAUCUAAGCACGAAACUUGCCCCGAGAUGAGUUCUCCCUGAGACUUUAAGUCUCCUGAAGGAACGUUAAAGACGAUGACGUUGAUAGGCCGGGUGUGUAAGCGCAGCGAUGCGUUGAGCUAACCGGUACUAAUGAACCGUGAGGCUUAACCUU
This 2900-nucleotide ribosomal RNA is filed under the name Klebsiella pneumoniae. RNAcentral describes it as "bacterial LSU rRNA". It matches the Rfam family "Bacterial large subunit ribosomal RNA". Lineage: Bacteria; Pseudomonadati; Pseudomonadota; Gammaproteobacteria; Enterobacterales; Enterobacteriaceae. RNAcentral also lists the same sequence under 1 other name. The record is from RNAcentral.